RNAcentral lists this ribosomal RNA (253 nucleotides) under uncultured bacterium. RNAcentral's name for it is "partial 16S ribosomal RNA". It matches the Rfam family "Bacterial small subunit ribosomal RNA", at positions 524 to 776 of the family's 1533-position model. The record is from RNAcentral.
GACGAAGGGGGCUAGCGUUGUUCGGAAUUACUGGGCGUAAAGCGCACGUAGGCGGCUUUUCAAGUCAGAUGUGAAAGCCCCGGGCUUAACCCGGGAACAGCAUUUGAUACUGUCGAGCUUGAGACCGGGAGAGGAUAGCGGAAUUCCCAGUGUAGAGGUGAAAUUCGUAGAUAUUGGGAAGAACACCAGUGGCGAAGGCGGCUAUCUGGACCGGUACUGACGCUGAGGUGCGAAAGCGUGGGGAGCAAACAGG